GAAUCUGGCUUCAGGUCGGGGACAACCACUGGAAACGGUGGCUAAUACCGGAUAUGCCGAGAGGUGAAAGGCUUGCUGCCUGAAGAUGAGCUCGCGUCUGAUUAGCUAGUAGGUGUGGUAAAAGCGCACCUAGGCGACGAUCAGUAGCUGGUCUGAGAGGAUGAUCAGCCACACUGGGACUGAGACACGGCCCAGACUCCUACGGGAGGCAGCAGUGGGGAAUUUUCCGCAAUGGGCGAAAGCCUGACGGAGCAAUACCGCGUGAGGGAGGAAGGCUCUUGGGUUGUAAACCUCUUUUCUCAGGGAAGAAAAAAAUGACGGUACCUGAGGAAUAAGCAUCGGCUAACUCCGUGCCAGCAGCCGCGGUAAUACGGAGGAUGCAAGCGUUAUCCGGAAUGAUUGGGCGUAAAGGGUCCGCAGGUGGCUAUGUAAGUCUGCUGUUAAAGAACCUAGCUUAACUAGGUAAAAGCAGUGGAAACUACAAGGCUAGAGUGCGUUCGGGGUAGAGGGAAUUCCUGGUGUAGCGGUGAAAUGCGUAGAUAUCAGGAAGAACACCAGUGGCGAAGGCGCUCUACUAGGCCGCAACUGACACUGAGGGACGAAAGCUAGGGGAGC
Molecule: ribosomal RNA, 615 nt
Filed under: Nodularia spumigena
Lineage: Bacteria; Bacillati; Cyanobacteriota; Cyanophyceae; Nostocales; Nodulariaceae
Description: bacterial SSU rRNA
Rfam family: Bacterial small subunit ribosomal RNA
Source: RNAcentral